AGUAAGAUAAGAUAAUAAAGUCUACUGGGUUCAUGCCCCGAAUGUGGUGUUUUCACCUCUUACUU
Molecule: transfer RNA, 65 nt
Filed under: Thelepus plagiostoma
Lineage: Eukaryota; Metazoa; Annelida; Polychaeta; Terebellida; Terebellidae
Description: tRNA-Met
Source: RNAcentral